CUUGACCGUGGCUGCUACCUUGACGUGGUGGUCGGGCUUGCCUAUCGUGAUGACCCAACCUAGCUAUAUUGGCUGGGACAUAUGUUCCUGCAGUUUCUACCAUGCCAGGCAGGUUGAUUGGAGAACGGUAAGACUAAAAGCAGC
Molecule: non-coding RNA, 144 nt
Filed under: Schistosoma mansoni
Lineage: Eukaryota; Metazoa; Platyhelminthes; Trematoda; Strigeidida; Schistosomatidae
Source: RNAcentral